CCUACGGGUGGCAGCAGUGAGGAAUAUUGGUCAAUGGGCGAGAGCCUGAACCAGCCAAGUCGCGUGAGGGAAGACGGUCCUACGGAUUGUAAACCUCUUUUGUCAGGGAGCAAGGCGCGCCACGCGUGUUUCGGCGCGAGUACCUUACGAAAAAGCAUCGGCUAACUCCGUGCCAGCAGCCGCGGUAAUACGGAGGAUGCGAGCGUUAUCCGGAUUUAUUGGGUUUAAAGGGUGCGCAGGCGGAAGCGGCAAGUCAGCGGCAAAAUUGCGGGGCUCAACCUCGCCGAGCCGUUGAAACUGCUCUGCGAGAGUGGGCGAGAAGUAGGCGGAAUGCGUGGUGUAGCGGUGAAAUGCAUAGAUAUCACGCAGAACUCCGAUUGCGAAGGCAGCAUACCGGCGCCCAACUGACGCUCAUGCACGAAAGCGUGGGUAUCGAACAGGAUUAGAUACCCUUGUAGUC
Molecule: ribosomal RNA, 460 nt
Filed under: uncultured bacterium
Lineage: Bacteria
Description: partial 16S ribosomal RNA
Rfam family: Bacterial small subunit ribosomal RNA
Source: RNAcentral